RNAcentral lists this ribosomal RNA (529 nucleotides) under Aparapotamon binchuanense. Its description in RNAcentral is "Aparapotamon sp. 1 JZ-2020 partial large subunit ribosomal RNA". It matches the Rfam family "Bacterial large subunit ribosomal RNA", at positions 1831 to 2625 of the family's 2925-position model. Lineage: Eukaryota; Metazoa; Arthropoda; Malacostraca; Decapoda; Potamidae. The record is from RNAcentral.
GUCUGUUUGGAGUUAUAAAGAGUCUAGCCUGCCCACUGAUAAUAUUUAAGGGCCGCAGUAUUAUAACUGUGCAAAGGUAGCAUAAUCAUUAGGUUCUUAAUUGGAAUCUUGAAUGAAUGGUUGGACAAAAGAAGUACUGUCUUUAUGUUUUUGAAUUUAACUUUUAAGUGAAAAGGCUUAAAUAUUCUAAAGGGACGAUAAGACCCUAUAAAACUUUACAUUAAGGUUAAUUUAGUAAAUUUAAUUAUAAAGAUUUAAUUUAAUUAUUUGUUGUAUUGGGGAGAUAUAGGUAAACCUUUUAUUAACUGCUUACUGAUCAAACAUUUACUAAUGAAGUAAUGGAUCCUUGUUAAAGAUUGUUGAAUUAAGUUACUUUAGGGAUAACAGCGUUAUUUUUUUUGAGAGUUCAUAUCGAAAAAAAAGAUUGCGACCUCGAUGUUGAAUUAAAUAUCUGUAUAAUGGAGCGGUUAUACAAGAGGGUCUGUUCGACCUUUAAAAUUUUACAUGAUUUGAGUCAAACCGGCGUGAG